This 829-nucleotide ribosomal RNA is filed under the name uncultured Paracoccaceae bacterium. RNAcentral's name for it is "bacterial SSU rRNA". It matches the Rfam family "Bacterial small subunit ribosomal RNA", at positions 383 to 1229 of the family's 1533-position model. The record is from RNAcentral. Lineage: Bacteria; Pseudomonadati; Pseudomonadota; Alphaproteobacteria; Rhodobacterales; Paracoccaceae.
CUGAUCUAGCCAUGCCGCGUGUGUGAUGAAGGCCCUAGGGUCGUAAAGCACUUUCGCCAGAGAUGAUAAUGACAGUAUCUGGUAAAGAAACCCCGGCUAACUCCGUGCCAGCAGCCGCGGUAAUACGGAGGGGGUUAGCGUUGUUCGGAAUUACUGGGCGUAAAGCGCACGUAGGCGGAUUAGUAAGUUAGAGGUGAAAUCCCAGGGCUCAACCCUGGAACUGCCUUUAAUACUGCUAGUCUUGAGUUCGAGAGAGGUAAGUGGAAUUCCGAGUGUAGAGGUGAAAUUCGUAGAUAUUCGGAGGAACACCAGUGGCGAAGGCGGCUUACUGGCUCGAUACUGACGCUGAGGUGCGAAAGCGUGGGGAGCAAACGGGAUUAGAUACCCCGGUAGUCCACGCCGUAAACGAUGUCUACUAGCUGUAGGGGUACUUGAGACCUUUGUAGCGCAGCUAACGCACUAAGUAGACCGCCUGGGGAGUACGGCCGCAAGGUUAAAACUCAAAUGAAUUGACGGGGGCCCGCACAAGCAGUGGAGCAUGUGGUUUAAUUCGAUGCAACGCGAAGAACCUUACCAGGCCUUGACAUCCUCGGAACUUUCUAGAAAUAGAUUGGUGCCUUCGGGAACCGAGUGACAGGUGCUGCAUGGCUGUCGUCAGCUCGUGUCGUGAGAUGUUGGGUUAAGUCCCGUAACGAGCGCAACCCUUGUCCUUAGUUGCCAGCACAUAAUGGUGGGAACUCUAAGGAGACUGCCGGUGACAAACCGGAGGAAGGUGUGGAUGAUGUCAAGUCAGCAUGCCCCUUAUAUCCUGGGCUACACACGUACUACA